Molecule: ribosomal RNA, 401 nt
Filed under: uncultured bacterium
Lineage: Bacteria
Description: partial 16S ribosomal RNA
Rfam family: Archaeal small subunit ribosomal RNA
Source: RNAcentral
ACACCGGCAGCUCUAGUGGUAGCUGUUUUUAUUGGGCCUAAAGCGUUCGUAGCCGGUUUGGUAAGUCACUGGUGAAAUCCUGUAGCUUAACUAUGGGAAUUGCUGGUGAUACUGUUGAACUUGAGGUCGGGAGAGGUUAGCGGUACUCCCAGGGUAGAGGUGAAAUUCUGUAAUCCUGGGAGGACCACCUGUGGCGAAGGCGGCGAACUGGAACGAACCUGACGGUGAGGGACGAAAGCUAGGGGCGCGAACCGGAUUAGAUACCCGGGUAGUCCUAGCCGUAAACGAUGUGGACUUGGUGUUGGGAUGGCUUCGAGCUGCCCCAGUGCCGAAGGGAAGCUGUUAAGUCCACCGCCUGGGAAGUACGGCCGCAAGGCUGAAACUUAAAGGAAUUGGCGGGG